RNAcentral lists this non-coding RNA (84 nucleotides) under Sphaerotilus mobilis. Lineage: Bacteria; Pseudomonadati; Pseudomonadota; Betaproteobacteria; Burkholderiales; Sphaerotilaceae. The record is from RNAcentral.
UUCAAUGGCGGGCCGUGUGGGGACACCGCAAGGUGUGCCGGUUCCAUAUCCCGGUCUGCCAACCCUGCACGGUCUGCCGCCCUC